CCUACGGGAGGCAGCAGUGAGGAAUAUUGGUCAAUGGGCGAGAGCCUGAACCAGCCAAGUCGCGUGAGGGAGUACUGCCCUAUGGGUUGUAAACCUCUUUUGUCGGGGAGCAAAAGCCGGACGUGUCCGGCUGUGAGAGUACCCGAAGAAAAAGCAUCGGCUAACUCCGUGCCAGCAGCCGCGGUAAUACGGAGGAUGCGAGCGUUAUCCGGAUUUAUUGGGUUUAAAGGGUGCGAAGGCGGAUUUUUAAGUGAGCGGUAAAAUCGUGGGGCUCAACCCCAUCCAGCCGUUGAAACUGGGGAUCUAGAGUGUGCGAGAGGUAUGCGGAAUGCGUGGUGUAGCGGUGAAAUGCAUAGAUAUCACGCAGAACCCCGAUUGCGAAGGCAGCAUACCGGUGCACAACUGACGCUCAGGCACGAAAGCGUGGGUAUCGAACAGGAUUAGAUACCCGGGUAGUC
This 458-nucleotide ribosomal RNA is filed under the name uncultured bacterium. RNAcentral's name for it is "partial 16S ribosomal RNA". It matches the Rfam family "Bacterial small subunit ribosomal RNA", at positions 338 to 795 of the family's 1533-position model. The record is from RNAcentral.